RNAcentral lists this transfer RNA (73 nucleotides) under uncultured archaeon. RNAcentral describes it as "tRNA-Val(tac)". It matches the Rfam family "tRNA". Rfam says of the family: Transfer RNA (tRNA) molecules are approximately 80 nucleotides in length. The record is from RNAcentral.
GGGCUCGUAGUGGAGCGGUUAACACGUCGCUCUUACACAGCGAAAACCCCCAGUUCGAAUCUGGGCGAGCCCA